RNAcentral lists this ribosomal RNA (468 nucleotides) under uncultured bacterium. RNAcentral's name for it is "partial 16S ribosomal RNA". It matches the Rfam family "Bacterial small subunit ribosomal RNA", at positions 28 to 507 of the family's 1533-position model. The record is from RNAcentral.
GACGAACGCUGGCGGCGUGCUUAACACAUGCAAGUCGAACGGAAAGGCCCUGCUUUUGUGGGGUGCUCGAGUGGCGAACGGGUGAGUAACACGUGAGUAACCUGCCCUUGACUUUGGGAUAACUUCAGGAAACUGGGGCUAAUACCGGAUAGGAGCUCCUGCUGCAUGGUGGUGGUUGGAAAGUUUCGGCGGUUGGGGAUGUACUCGCGGCUUAUCAGCUUGUUGGUGGGGUAGUGGCUUACCAAGGCUUUGACGGGUAGCCGGCCUGAGAGGGUGACCGGCCACAUUGGGACUGAGAUACGGCCCAGACGCCUACGGGAGGCAGCAGUGGGGAAUAUUGCACAAUGGGCGGAAGCCUGAUGCAGCAACGCCGCGUGCGGGAUGACGGCCUUCGGGUUGUAAACCGCUUUCGCCUGUGACGAAGCGUGAGUGACGGUAAUGGGUAAAGAAGCACCGGCUAACUACGUG